RNAcentral lists this microRNA precursor (206 nucleotides) under Sorghum bicolor (sorghum). Its description in RNAcentral is "MIR6217 microRNA precursor family". It matches the Rfam family "MIR6217 microRNA precursor family". Lineage: Eukaryota; Viridiplantae; Streptophyta; Magnoliopsida; Poales; Poaceae. The record is from Rfam by way of RNAcentral.
UUGCUACAAAAUAACUUAUUUUGUAGCCACUUUGAGUUACGAUAAUUACUAUAUUAAUUUACAAGAUUAUAAUAACUCCUUACUAAGUGGUUUACUAUAACAUUACGGUAAAUAUCCCCAUAUGUUAUAGUAACCCAACUAUCGUAAAUUAGUAUAUAAAAUUAUCGUAAAUGGAGGUGGCUACAGAAUAACAUAUUUUGUAGCUA